This is a long non-coding RNA of Nyctereutes procyonoides (raccoon dog), 1587 nucleotides long. RefSeq lists it as uncharacterized. The transcript has 9 exons. NCBI's taxonomy places the organism in Eukaryota, Metazoa, Chordata, Mammalia, Carnivora, Canidae. The record is from RefSeq and is a predicted model, not a curated record.
CAGCCCCGGGCGGGAGGAGGAGCUGGCCGACGCAAUUUAGGCUGAAGGGGAAGUCGUGUAGGUUACCCUGAUCUGCGGACGCGGGGAAGGCGACCCCGGGUCGCGCCAGAGAACCACCAGCCUCAGAGAAGGCGCGGGUUUCUGACUGUCAGACCUACGCGCGGAGAGUCCUUAAAGGAGGAAGAAUCCCAACCCUUCACAAAAAUAUAAAACCGUCUGGAAGAGGAGACAUCUACCGGAUGGAAGGAGAUAAUUGCAAAUAAAAGAUUGGCUAGCAAUAGAAUUCAAAGGACUAAAGAGUCUGUGUGAUGCUACAGAUGAAAGCUCUACCCAGAGCUGGAGCUGGGUCCUGAGCCACAGCAGACAUUCGUGGUGGUUGAUGAGCCAUCAAAGGUGGGCCUGAGGACCUAGUACCAUCAGGGUCUGCCCAGAUUUGCAUUUUGUCUUCACCCAAUAAUGAAUGAAUAUGGCAACAUUGGAAGUUUUGUGUUAAAGCUGGUGGAGCCACAAUGUGGAAGGAGCCCAGGACCCUGAAUCAGUGCCCAGAGGAAUAUAAAGAAUUGCAUUUUCUGUCCUCUUGAGGCAAACCCAAAAUCUCUGGAUGAGAAGGAAAUAUUCUAUGAUGAGGAACACCUGUCGACCUGGGUCUGGGGAGCAGAACUUCCCACCAAUCUGCAUUGGGCAUACGAAGAAGCUGAGAUAUAAGCCUUUGUUCUUUCCAGCCUCUGUGAUUGCUUUGUUGUUUGCUUCCAUAACCUAACCUAGCCUGUCCUGAUUGACACAUUUGCCUUGAAUGUACUAGACCAGCAUGUAAUACUGAACCUCAUAAACACUGACUGCCAUCCUGCUACAUUAGGAAUGAAAGCCAAGUUCUGUGUUCUCAGGACCUUCUGCUGAAUAUGUUUUGGCUUUGCUGGAACACACUAUCUCGAUUUGGGAGAAAGAAUUCAAGAUUGUAAGCAAACUUUCAUUUUUUCCCUAGAAAAACUAGAACAUUAGACCAAAGAUUGGAGCCCUCCAGCCAAGUCUUGUCAACUUAUCUCCCCUGGAGACUGAAGAGUGCUCUAGGAUUGGACUGUCCUCCAACCAUGACAGCAACCACUUCUACUUAUUAAAUAUUUUUGCCAGAUUCUCCUUUUAUAUUGUUGAGACAGCAUAGGAACCCAGACCCUUUUUUUCUUGUGCCUAUGUCAUAUUCAACAUAUCCAAGGUGUUCCCUGUACAUUUGCCUCAAAGCAGUGGAAAUGGACAUACCAUGAAGAGGGUACUGCAUGAAGGAUUUUAUAGGCCAGUCUGAAAUGGUAAAAUCAUCUCUGUUUACAUCCCAGUGCCUGGAACUUGGUCUUAUGGUCAUAUCUAAAUACCAUGGAGACUGGGAAAUGUAGUCUAGCUGUGCGUCCAGAAAGAAGAGGAAAUGGGUUUAUUGAGUCUACAAUGUGGUUUCAUAGCCAGACAGACCUGGGUUCAAAUUCUAGCCCUGCAAAUAAUUCUCAUGUGAGUCUUCAUGCCUCAAUUUCCUUACCUUUUAAGGGAUAAUAAAAUCUAUUUCAGCAAUUGUUGCUAAGCUUGAAUAGAAUAAUAAAUAUA